GCACUGAGUGGAUUAACUAUUCUUUAUUUAUUUAUAAAUUUAUUUUAAAUACUUUUAAGUCCAUCUUAUAGAAAAUUUUAAAUCUUCUAACCGAAAAAAUUUUUUACUGUAACUCGCCUUACUUCUUAUUUAUUUGCUGCACUUUGAUUUGUAUUAAGUUUUAAGAUAAAGCUUUGAAUUUACUUUAAAGUAAAUUCACGACAACGGUAUACAAGCUUUAGUAAAUAAGUAAAAUAUUCUUGGUGGUUAUCAAUUAUAUGGUAAGUUCCCCUAAAAUACUACACUCAGCCGCCAUAAUAUUUAAGUUUAGGCCAAAUAAUAAGCAUUAAUUCUUGUUUUAAAUAUAUUAAUCUCCUUAUAAUUGGGUAUCUAAUCCAGGUUUAAUUUUAAGAGGUUGUUAUUUUAAAAAUAUAGUUAGUUUAUAAAGUUAAUAGUAUUUCACCACAUAUUUAAAUUUUGUAUAUCUUUAAUUAUAAAACAAUUACUAUAAACUUCCCUAAUAGGUAUGACCGCGGUUGCUGGCACCUAAUUAACCUAGGAUAUAUAAUUAUCUAAAUUUAAAUUGCUUUAAUAGUUUAAAAUUUUUAACUAGAAUUAAGUCUUUACAUUCUAUAUUAAGUUAGAUUACAGGCUUAUAGAUUCAUCAUAUUAAAGUGUAAAAUCUAAGGGGGUUGAUAACCAUUUUAGA
This 688-nucleotide ribosomal RNA is filed under the name Montenegrina hiltrudae dennisi. RNAcentral's name for it is "partial 12S ribosomal RNA". The record is from RNAcentral. Lineage: Eukaryota; Metazoa; Mollusca; Gastropoda; Stylommatophora; Clausiliidae.